This 1145-nucleotide long non-coding RNA is filed under the name Gopherus agassizii (Agassiz's desert tortoise). Its description in RNAcentral is "lncRNA (ENSGAGG00000012450.1)". Lineage: Eukaryota; Metazoa; Chordata; Testudines; Testudinidae. The record is from RNAcentral.
CUUGUCCCCUGAAUUCUUCUGUCUCGGGGAAUUGCUCUCUCUGAUUAACAAUCAAGAAACUGCACGAGGCAGGUGUCACAACUCACUUUUUCCUUCAGCUUGUUUGCAUCAGGCCUGAUUUUGUUGGGGACAGGAGGAGAAAUCUGCAGGAUCUCAGCAUCUUUCAAGAGGGUUUCAAGCAGUUUGCAAUGAGUGACCCAUGGGCGUGGCUGCUCUUGGCUUGGAGAAGAGCUCAAGGACUGGUUACAGUUUCGGAUAAGACAUGGCGUGGUUGCCAUUUUCUCUCUACCUUCUGGGGACCAGGCUGUGUAGAGCUGCGUCCACACAAGAUCUGGGUCUAGAUCAGCCUCCAGUUGUCAGAGCCCUCAGAGGGGAGUCUGUGACUCUGCCCUGCUCCUGUGACGUCUGUAGCUACCCUGAGUUCUACUCCGAAUGGCGUUUCACCAGUGGGAACAGGGGCCCGGGCACCAUCCUGGCCGUGAAGACGGCCAUCAGUUCCAAACACCUGGACCCACAGUACAAGUUUUCUGUGACGCACCAGAGAAACUCAAGAUCUCUGCUGCUUAUUAAAAACUUGCAGAUCAACGACCAGGGAACCUACGUGUGUACAAUGAUUAAAAACGUGCCGCCUCCUACGGUGAUCUUGAAAGGGCCCGGGACUCAGCUUGAAGUCUAUGCUUUGCCCAAAGUCUGGCUCUUUGCUUCUCCCUCGGAAGCAGCUCUCCCCAUGGCCCUAGUGACCUGUGCAGUGAGGGACUUUUAUCCACAAUCUCUGUACACCACAAUGAAUGCAACAUGUGGGGGGUACGCGGCGCUGGUGGACAAUGCUUCGGCUGUCAUGACUGGUGAUGGGACCUUCAGCAUGACCCUACAGGCCUGGGUGAAUGUGACCGGCUGCCAGAAUGGGACGGAAGUGACCUGUUUGGUUAGACAGCUCACAGCUGAGACACGCAGGAUUCUCUGGAUACCCAGGGCAAAAAACAAAGCAGCGCUGUUACCUGUGCCGAUCAUCCUCAUCAGAUUUGUUUUUGGAGGAGCUGUGGUUCUUUGGCUUGUUUUCCUGCUAGGCUGCUUCAUGAAAAGUAAGUAUCCAGGAAAUGGAGGCAUUUGAUGCUGAUCAAUGUAGCGUUCAACAAAGCAUCUCA